RNAcentral lists this unclassified non-coding RNA (287 nucleotides) under Hevea brasiliensis (rubber tree). Lineage: Eukaryota; Viridiplantae; Streptophyta; Magnoliopsida; Malpighiales; Euphorbiaceae. The record is from RNAcentral.
UUGUGUAUGAGUACAUGAAAUGGGGAAGUCUAGAGUCUGUUCUUCAUGACAGGUCUAAAGGAGUGUGCUUAAGGCUUGAUUGGGCAGCAAGAAAGAAGAUUGCCGUGGGUUCAGCGAGAGGUCUUGCAUUCCUUCACCACAGCUGCAUACCACACAUUAUCCACCGUGAUAUGAAGUCUAGCAAUGUUCUUCUAGAUGAAAACUUUGAGNNNNNNNNNUUUGGCAUGGCCAGAUUGGUGAAUGCUCUCGACACGCAUCUUAGCGUUAGCACACUUGCAGGAACUCCC